UUCAGACCAUUGUUCACCAGCUUAAACCCUAAUUAGAACCCGAGAGAGAGAGAGAGCUCACCAGACUCAUUCAAUCCAAAAUCUCUACUCUCUCCUCCGAGCUCAGUGGUAAAAGUGUUUGCAGAGAACACCAUUGAUGCGAUGGAGAAAAGCUUCACUCUCAUUCAAACAAUUGCCACAGCAGGAGUCUUCUCUGCUGUUUCCUUCUGGUACGGUUUUAUGUUUGGCAGAGAAUCUGCCCGCAAGGAGCUCGGGGAUUUGAUCGAAAAACUUCGCAGUGGAAAAUCGGAAACUGGUUCUCCACCACAUUCGUGAAAUUAGCGUUCUGGAGGUGAUUUUAUUGAUUUUGAAAGCAAAGAUCUUUAGCAAUUGGGCUUUCAAGAAUGGAGUGAAUAAUUUCAGUGUGAUGAAGAUUGAAUAAUGGAAAGAGUAAUUUUUUAAAAGUCAGCAAGAAGAAAAAUUUGUAUCGAAAAAGGAAGGAAGGGUUGUUUUCUAAGUCCUUUUCAUGAGGCGGGUUUGGUUAGUGGCAUGCUGGUGUGGUGACUACUGGGUUUGAAACUUAUGCUGUGGGAUCUGGUCGGAGUUGUACUCGAGCUCAACAUCAAGAGUUGAAGGCCCAUAUUGCAUCCCAACUGCGCAUCUGUCAUUUGAUGAAUUUUUGAAGUUUGGGUUGAAAUUAUGGUCACUGAGAUUGGACUGUUUAGUACAGGAUUAAACUUAGGUUGACAGCAUGAAGUGGACUGUAAGAAAGGGGUCUGAUGUGUUUCUUCCAAAAAAGGUCAGGGGUCCUAUUGCUGAAGCUACUUAGAUAUUUGCUGAUGUUCUCUCAGUGACCACAAUCAAUGUAUGUUUGAUGUUUUGUUAUGUUACCUUGAUUGACAAGUAAAUUUUACUGCAUAUGAUUUUUUUCUUUUCAAUUUUUGAUUUUGUUGACCCUACAUACAGAAUCCUGGUGAACGGUACUGUUUGGUGGAAAAUUAGUUGAUGGUUAAACAAAUAUGACAAAGAAAAUAUGCUUGUGCUUCAAAAGCAUUAAUCUAUGGAAUGUGAUUGGGCUUCAAUUGUUUUUA
Long non-coding RNA from Camellia sinensis, 1070 nucleotides. RefSeq lists it as uncharacterized. The record is from RefSeq and is a predicted model, not a curated record. NCBI's taxonomy places the organism in Eukaryota, Viridiplantae, Streptophyta, Magnoliopsida, Ericales, Theaceae.